This 933-nucleotide long non-coding RNA is filed under the name Homo sapiens (human). Its description in RNAcentral is "novel transcript". Lineage: Eukaryota; Metazoa; Chordata; Mammalia; Primates; Hominidae. The record is from RNAcentral.
AAAAAAACAAAGGGCAUUUAGGCAGAAGGCACAUCAUAUAGAAGAGCCAGGUGUACCCACACUGAUCUCCCAUGAGAGAAACCCCAGCUUUCUGGAACACUUCAGGGUGACUGCAUCCCCACAGAAGGAGUGCCCUCUUAGUUCAGGUUUGCACAAGAAAUAGAUCCCAACCUCUCUGUACAUGGAACAUCAGCAUUUCUGCAGAUGAAGAGAGGUGCCUGUCUGAUCUGAAUAGCCAGAACACUGGAUUAGGAGUGUGACUGGGAGUCAGACCACUUUCCUACUAGCCUGGAAGGAGAGCUGUGAUGGCUCCCUCACUUCCUCCUGAAAAGACCUCAGUGAAUUUCACUGAGAGCUUCCCCAGCCACCCUUUUGGCGGCUGGGACCUCUGCCCACCACCUCUGCCCACCACUGGGGUAUUGCAUUUACCCAUGGCUUUAGCCACAGCUGAUUUUUACUCAUGGGUACCUCCUACUAGUCUGAAGCUGGAACUGUUCAAUCCAGUGAGUGAAAUACCAGAGAAACAAAGUUUUAAAAGUGCACAUCACUGGGGAAUGAGAUAAGUUCCAUGAGACCUCUGCCAUUCUAGCUCCACAGGAGACAGUGAACCUGCUCACACACCCAGCACAUUGCUACUACCACCAGUAUCUGAGAAACCUAUCCCACAAAGAUUGUCUAUAACCCAGGAACUCAUACAGAGUCUUUGCCACUGAAAUUAUCCAGAGCUGAAGCAAGGUGACAAUAAACUAGAAACACUAAACUCACAUACUCAAAGGAAAAAAAAUUUUAAACCCAGUUGAAUCAAAAUUAACUCAAAAAUAAUUAGAAGAAGUAGUGUACUCAUAUGAAAAGGAACCAGAAAACCAAUUCUGGCAAUAUGGAAAAAACAGGAUUCCAUAAUACCACCAAAUGUCAACUAGCUUUCCAGCAGUG